This is a long non-coding RNA of Lemur catta (Ring-tailed lemur), 250 nucleotides long. RefSeq lists it as uncharacterized. NCBI's taxonomy places the organism in Eukaryota, Metazoa, Chordata, Mammalia, Primates, Lemuridae. The transcript has 3 exons. The record is from RefSeq and is a predicted model, not a curated record.
AAGACUAAGAGAUGGACAGACAGAGACCUGGCAACUGAGGCCCAGAGAGGCUAAUUGACUUGCUCCAAGUCACACAGCUGGUCAGUAGCAGAACUGGAACCCAACCCUAGGGACCAUCACCCUUCAGAUCAUUGCAGAUGUAAUCUGAAGAUCCUUGUGAGGACGGAGGCAGACGUUGGUGUGACGCAUCUAUGAGCCGGAGAGCACCUGGGGCUACCAGAAGCUGGCAAGAGGCUAGGAAAGAUCCUCC